UUUUUUUUGUGCAUAUUGGGCCGCUGGGCGCUGGGCUGGGUGCUGGCUUGCUGCUGGAACGGGCCUGGAGGCCUGCUGGCGCUGGAACGGGCCUGCUGCUGGUUGGCCUGUUGGCUGCCUGGCCUGCUAGACCUGCUGGAUUGGGCCUGGCCUGCUGCUUUUUUUUUUGCUGCUACUAUUUCUUUUUUUCUUUUUUUGGGCUGCUGGGUGAUCUGCUGUGGGUCGGGUCGGCUUUCUUGGGUCGGGUCGGGUCAGGUCAAGCCCGACUGUAAUGUAUUUCUUUUUUUUUUUUUCUUUCUCUCUUUUUUCUUUCUUUUUUCUCUUUUUUCUUUCUUUCUUUCUUCUUCCUUCCCUUCGACUUUGCUCUUCCUCGCCGUUGCCGCUUCCUCCGCCCGAUGCGACGGUAUGACGGUGGUUAAAAGAAUGCAAAGGCACGGCGGUGGGUACGGUGGUGGUGAAGGCGGUGGUUGGGGCCCUUUGGCUUGCUGCUUUUUGUUUGAUUUUUUUGCUGCUGUUUUCUUAGUUUUCUUUCUUUCUUUUGUAAAAAAUGAACCCCCCAUUUCUCUUCAAUCUCUUCCUUUUAAUUCCAAUUUUUGCCUCUUUCUUCUUUGUUUGCAGGUGGCAGAGGAGGGCAUCAUGGCCUAGGGAGGCUGCUGGAGUAGCUCGGCUGGGGAGGGGUAGGCUCGGCAGUUGCUUGCGACGAUUUGACAAGUCCAGAAGGACUAAAUUGCAUAGGAUGCAAAGUUUCUGGGGCAAAAGCAUAAUUUUAGCAAAAUAUGGGCCAAAAUGUAAUUUCUUGAGAGUUUAGGGGUCAAAGUGCAAUUUUGAGAAAGUUUAAGGGUCGAAAUAUAAUUUUAGAAAGUUUUAGGGUCAAAAUGUAAAUUUUAGAAAAGUUUGGGGUCAAAAUGUAAAUUUUGAAAAGUAUAGGGGUUAAAAUGCAAAAAAUAAAAAAAUUCUUUUUUUUUAAACACGAAAUUAAUCCCGGACAAAAUUUA
Gossypium raimondii (Peruvian cotton) is the source of this 995-nucleotide long non-coding RNA. RefSeq lists it as uncharacterized. NCBI's taxonomy places the organism in Eukaryota, Viridiplantae, Streptophyta, Magnoliopsida, Malvales, Malvaceae. The record is from RefSeq and is a predicted model, not a curated record. The transcript is spliced from 2 exons.